UAUCAUUAUUGACAUGCAAUACAGAAUUGAAUUGGCUUGACAACCCUCCUUGCAUGGGCAUGUGUAGUUUUAUGGUCGGUGUAUGAUACCAAUGCAACAAUUCUAAGUAAAUAUGAUGCAUCAGGUUUAUGUUGGUCUUCCACAUGACAUCUCUGUAGGAAUUUUGUAAAAAGUUUAACAAUUCUAAAACAUGAUUUUCAAUACCUUCGGUUGGCGUUGCGAAGUUGUUCAAGUAUUUUGAGAGCUCUGCUUGUCCAUACUGCAUUUGGAUGUAAAAUUUGUUUUUUUAGAAGAGAGGAUAGUUUAUCGUGCGGUGUGAUCUGAGCCCUUAAGUCUUGUGUGGAUGUUCACAUUGCAAAAAUGUUGAGACAGACACCAUUUUCCUGUGGGGUUUUACCUCACAGUUAUGAUUGGCACAUUGAAAUAUUUAGUAUUUUAAUUUAACUUUGCAUCCACAUAAUAAUGCCUCAAGUGGAAAUUCAACUUGCACACAACUUUGUGUUGUACACCACUACCAAAUAGCACACAUGCAGGCAUACAAGGAAAGAUGUCAGAGUAAAAGGGGCACACAGAGUGCUGCACUUCUUGAGCUGCGGGAGUGGAAACUGCCUUGCUCAAAAACACCUCGACAGUAGCCAGGAAGCAAACUAGUGUCUCUCCAACAUCUAGUUGCCGUUGUUACUUAUAUUUGUUGGCAGCAGAACAGUGGCCUGCGGACUCAAAAAUUCUGAGGUACUGAGUUCUCUGCUGUUGUCAGGAACGCAUACGGGGAGGCUGUGGGCACGUUGUGGGUUAUAGAUUAAUACAAUGACAAUGCUACAAUCGUCUGGAUCGUCCAGUUUUUGAUCUUGAGCUCCGAGGGAACUUUCAUCUGGACAUUUAAAAUGAAAAUAGGUUUGACUUUUGAACAUUUUUCUCCAUUCUUUGAAUAUCAUUUAAAUAUUCUGAUCUUCAAUAAAUGUCAUGGUUAGAACAGUGGUCCUCAACCACCGGGCCAUGGGCUGCAGGCUGCUGCGCUCCACACAGAUGAAAGAUUAAGAAACGUGGAGUACCUCUAAUUUAUUUAUUAAUCCAAGGCUGAAAAAUAUUUUACGUUGAAAAGUGACCGGAUACUUUGCGUUACAUCCAUCAAUGAAGGACUCUUGACACCUGUCACGAUGCUAAUCGUCUAGGUCAUGUAACGCUAAUAUUGAACCCGCAAGCAACAUGAGUAAAAAAACGGAAGUGGAUGGAAAGUUUCUUUACAACGGGCAAAAGACCAAGUAAUGACAUAACCACAUGAAUCUUUGACCAAGAAGAAAUGGAAAGGUGUAUUUCACAGUAAAUCGUAGGCGACCUACUACUAGAAUUCCGGAUUUAACACGGCAGGUGAUGCCCGUGCUCCAAGCCCGCUAUGCACAAUAAGCAGUGAGUGGCUCGUAGAUUUAGCGUGGUGAUAGUUAUAUUUGUUCUGUGGUGCUUUUGUUUGUCUGUGCAUUUCUGGUGGGCGCUGCUAAUAUAGUUACAUAAAAAUGUGGCAUAUCUAUUAUCUGCAAAAUGCUCGAGUUGUAGUGUUGCUCAUAUCAUUCAUGCAAUUUGUGGUCCCUAGAGCACAUUUAAACAUUACCAUAGUUACCAUAUUAAAACUGUUGCUCCCCUUGGAUCAGUGGUCGAGUUUGGGGGUCCAAUUCCCGGUCAUUGCGACUUUAUCGAAGUGUCCUUGAGCAAAAUACUGUCCCCCCCCCCCCCCCCCCCCCCCCUCCCACACACACAUUGUUCCUGAUGCGGUGUCAUGAGUUGGUAAAUUAGUAGGACUGUGUAAAGCGCUUUGGGUACCAAAGGUUGAAAAGCGCUAUAUGUGUGACAGCCCAUUAACCAUUUAAUUUCGGUGAAUGGUUGCUGUUCCGCGAACGAUAUUGAUUGACCUAUAGACCAUAGGUAUGGACUUGAUGACUGCAUGCACACGCCUGAAUCAGGAGUAUUAAAAAAAAAAAUCUUUUGGACCAAAUUGUACUUCUGUUGACUGAUUGCAUUAUAAAGGAUGCGCCAAGUAUCCAUAAUAUACAAUAAUAAAUAUUCAUCCUUUCAUUAAUAACCACCCAUCCCCCUCCCCGGCAAGCUAAUUAAGUCUUGACUGAAGGAAGUUGAAGGGGAAUACAUAAAACAAUAAUGUGAUUAACUCAAACACUGCUGUGAAGACUUUUACUGUAUAACACCAGUCAGUUAUCUACUUUUUAAGCCCCGCCAUCUUGAAAUGUGCAGGUUCAAAAUGAAAACUUUGGCAUUAAAGUGAAUCGUACCUGUGGAAAUGAUUGUUGGGUCACACUGUUCUUAGUGAGGGACCUCAGUGUCUUGGGCUCUGAGCCCAAAAAGGCAGACUCCUUUUAAGGUGGCUUGGUUAUCAGCCUAUCUAUCACUUGACUCGGUUAUGUUUGUGGGCAGGCAAAGUCUCACAGCACUCUGGUUUGAACUGCACCUCUCCCAGUUUGUUAAUCUCUCAUCAUCCGAUACCUUAACACUGUAUUCACAGCGUUAAUGGUAAGUACAGCAGUACCAGUCCUCGUUCUGGGAGGCAUUUUGCCUAUAGUGUUGUUUUCAUGCACUAUUUGAAUUUUGUCAUUUGGUAUUAUAAUCUGCCGUUUCAUUUUAUUGAAGAAAUGAAAUAUGACUCUUGUGUCUACCAUGUAACAGUGAAGGGUGCCCUGUCAAAGUGCAAUACCGCUAGCCUGUCUAGAGGUACAUGCUUUGAAAGAGACUUUUAACCACUGAAAUUACAUUUGCAAUUGUGGUACUUUUUGAACAAAGGUUUUGACACAAGUCCCCUGCAUACUUACAUAGUUUCUCACCAGUUUUUCAAUGUCACCAUUGUUCA
Molecule: long non-coding RNA, 2851 nt
Organism: Hippocampus zosterae (dwarf seahorse)
Lineage: Eukaryota; Metazoa; Chordata; Actinopteri; Syngnathiformes; Syngnathidae
Exons: 3
Source: RefSeq, a predicted model, not a curated record